UCGAUCCUACGGGGAGGCAGCAGUGGGGGAAUAUUGCACAAUGGGCGCAAGCCUGAUGCAGCCAUGCCGCGUGUAUGAAGAAGGACCUUCGGGUUGUAAAGUACUUUCAGCAGUGAGGAAGGUGGGUAUGUUAAUAGCAUAUUCAUUUGACGUUAGCUGCAGAAGAAAGCACCGGCUAACUCCGUGCCAGCAGCCGCGGUAAUACGGAGGGUGCGAGCGUUAAUCGGAAUUACUGGGCGUAAAGCGCAUGCAGGUGGUUUGUUAAGUCAGAUGUGAAAGCCCGGGGCUCAACCUCGGAAUUGCAUUUGAAACUGGCAAACUAGAGUACUGUAGAGGGGGGUAGGAAUUUCAGGUGUAGCGGUGAAAUGCGUAGAGAUCUGAAGGAAUACCGGUGGCGAAGGCGGCCCCCUGGACAGAUACUGACACUCAGAUGCGAAAGCGUGGGGAGCAAACAGGAUUAGAUACCCUGGUAG
RNAcentral lists this ribosomal RNA (473 nucleotides) under uncultured bacterium. RNAcentral's name for it is "bacterial SSU rRNA". It matches the Rfam family "Bacterial small subunit ribosomal RNA", at positions 332 to 793 of the family's 1533-position model. The record is from RNAcentral.